RNAcentral lists this ribosomal RNA (253 nucleotides) under uncultured bacterium. RNAcentral describes it as "partial 16S ribosomal RNA". It matches the Rfam family "Bacterial small subunit ribosomal RNA", at positions 524 to 776 of the family's 1533-position model. The record is from RNAcentral.
UACGGAGGAUGCAAGCGUUAUCCGGAAUGAUUGGGCGUAAAGGGUCCGCAGGUGGCAGUGUAAGUCUGCUGUCAAAGAAUGAGGCUUAACCUCAUCAAGGCAGUGGAAACUACACAGCUAGAGUACGGUCGGGGUAGAAGGAAUUCCUGGUGUAGCGGUGAAAUGCGCAGAUAUCAGGAGGAACACCUAUUGCGAAGGCAGCUCGCUGGGACGUAACUGACGCUGAGACGCGAAAGCGUGGGGAGCAAACAGG